RNAcentral lists this ribosomal RNA (259 nucleotides) under uncultured bacterium. RNAcentral's name for it is "partial 16S ribosomal RNA". It matches the Rfam family "Bacterial small subunit ribosomal RNA", at positions 96 to 353 of the family's 1533-position model. The record is from RNAcentral.
CGGCGGACGGGUGAGUAACGCGUGGGUAACCUGCCUCAUACAGGGGGAUAACAGUUGGAAACGGCUGCUAAUACCGCAUAAGCGCACAGUACCGCAUGGUACCGUGUGAAAAACUCCGGUGGUAUGAGAUGGACCCGCGUCUGAUUAGGUAGUUGGUGGGGUAACGGCCUACCAAGGCGACGAUCAGUAGCCGACCUGAGAGGGUGACCGGCCACAUUGGGACUGAGACACGGCCCAAACUCCUACGGGAGGCAGCAUG